This 497-nucleotide ribosomal RNA is filed under the name uncultured bacterium. RNAcentral describes it as "partial 16S ribosomal RNA". It matches the Rfam family "Bacterial small subunit ribosomal RNA", at positions 28 to 507 of the family's 1533-position model. The record is from RNAcentral.
GAUGAACGCUGGCGGCGUGCCUAAUACAUGCAAGUCGAGCGAACAGACGAGGAGCUUGCUCCUCUGACGUUAGCGGCGGACGGGUGAGUAACACGUGGAUAACCUACCUAUAAGACUGGGAUAACUUCGGGAAACCGGAGCUAAUACCGGAUAAUAUAUUGAACCGCAUGGUUCAAUAGUGAAAGACGGUUUUGCUGUCACUUAUAGAUGGAUCCGCGCCGCAUUAGCUAGUUGGUAAGGUAACGGCUUACCAAGGCAACGAUGCGUAGCCGACCUGAGAGGGUGCUGGCCCACACGGAAAGAGACACCGGGUCCAGACACCUAGGGGGGGACGAGGGAGGGAUUCUUCCGAAAGGGGAGAAAGCCGGAGGGAGAAGCGCCGCGGGAUAGAUAAAGGUCUUGGGAUCUAAAAACUUUGUUAUUAGGGAAAAACAAAUGUGAAAGUAACUAUGCCCGUCUUGAGGGUCCCUAAUAAGAAAGCCACGGCAACCUACGGG